GCGCUUGUGAUGUAGUGGUUAGCAUAUUGCUCUUAUACUUGCUGUGCCUUUUCGGCGUAGCCUGUAUGGUAGAAAUGCAAAGGUCGUGAGUUCAAUCCUCACCUGGCGCA
Non-coding RNA from Xylaria castorea, 110 nucleotides. NCBI's taxonomy places the organism in Eukaryota, Fungi, Ascomycota, Sordariomycetes, Xylariales, Xylariaceae. The record is from the annotation of a GenBank genome assembly.